Molecule: ribosomal RNA, 426 nt
Filed under: Chloroflexota bacterium
Lineage: Bacteria; Bacillati; Chloroflexota
Description: Chloroflexi bacterium partial 16S ribosomal RNA
Rfam family: Bacterial small subunit ribosomal RNA
Source: RNAcentral
UGGGGAAUAUUGCACAAUGGGCGCAAGCCUGAUGCAGCCAUGCCGCGUGUGUGAAGAAGGCCUUCGGGUUGUAAAGCACUUUCAGCGGGGAGGAAGGCGGUGAGGUUAAUAACCUCAUCGAUUGACGUUACCCGCAGAAGAAGCACCGGCUAACUCCGUGCCAGCAGCCGCGGUAAUACGGAGGGUGCAAGCGUUAAUCGGAAUUACUGGGCGUAAAGCGCACGCAGGCGGUCUGUCAAGUCGGAUGUGAAAUCCCCGGGCUCAACCUGGGAACUGCAUUCGAAACUGGCAGGCUAGAGUCUUGUAGAGGGGGGUAGAAUUCCAGGUGUAGCGGUGAAAUGCGUAGAGAUCUGGAGGAAUACCGGUGGCGAAGGCGGCCCCCUGGACGAAGACUGACGCUCAGGUGCGAAAGCGUGGGGAGCAAAC